RNAcentral lists this non-coding RNA (21 nucleotides) under Caenorhabditis elegans. Lineage: Eukaryota; Metazoa; Nematoda; Chromadorea; Rhabditida; Rhabditidae. The record is from RNAcentral.
UUCACAGGUAAGACGAUGGAC